This 465-nucleotide ribosomal RNA is filed under the name Vreelandella stevensii. RNAcentral's name for it is "partial 16S ribosomal RNA". It matches the Rfam family "Bacterial small subunit ribosomal RNA", at positions 338 to 795 of the family's 1533-position model. The record is from RNAcentral. Lineage: Bacteria; Pseudomonadati; Pseudomonadota; Gammaproteobacteria; Oceanospirillales; Halomonadaceae.
CCUACGGGGGGCUGCAGUGGGGAAUAUUGGACAAUGGGGGGAACCCUGAUCCAGCCAUGCUGCGUGUGUGAAGAAGGCCCUCGGGUUGUAAAGCACUUUCAGUGAGGAAGAACGCCUGGUGGUUAAUACCCAUCAGGAAAGACAUCACUCACAGAAGAAGCACCGGCUAACUCCGUGCCAGCAGCCGCGGUAAUACGGAGGGUGCGAGCGUUAAUCGGAAUUACUGGGCGUAAAGCGCGCGUAGGUGGCUUGAUAAGCCGGUUGUGAAAGCCCCGGGCUCAACCUGGGAACGGCAUCCGGAACUGUCAAGCUAGAGUGCAGGAGAGGAAGGUAGAAUUCCCGGUGUAGCGGUGAAAUGCGUAGAGAUCGGGAGGAAUACCAGUGGCGAAGGCGGCCUUCUGGACUGACACUGACACUGAGGUGCGAAAGCGUGGGUAGCAAACAGGAUUAGAUACCCUUGUAGUC